AACGAACGCUGGCGGCAGGCCUAACACAUGCAAGUCGAACGCUCCGCAAGGGAGUGGCGCACGGUGAGUAACACGUGGGACCUACCUUCUGGUACGGAACAACCAAGGGAAACUUUGGCUAAGACCGUAUACGACCUCCGGGUGAAAGAUUGAUCGCCGGAAGAGGGGCCCGCGUCCGAUUAGGUAGUUGGUGAGGUAACGGCUCACCAAGCCUUCGAUCGGUAGCUGGUCUGAGAGGAUGACCAGCCACACUGGGACUGAGACACGGCCCAGACUCCUACGGGAGGCAGCAGUGGGAAUAUUGGACAAUGGGCGCAAGCCUGAUCCAGCCAUGCCGCGUGAGUGAUGAAGGCC
This 354-nucleotide ribosomal RNA is filed under the name uncultured bacterium. Its description in RNAcentral is "bacterial SSU rRNA". It matches the Rfam family "Bacterial small subunit ribosomal RNA", at positions 29 to 416 of the family's 1533-position model. The record is from RNAcentral.